This 497-nucleotide ribosomal RNA is filed under the name uncultured bacterium. RNAcentral describes it as "partial 16S ribosomal RNA". It matches the Rfam family "Bacterial small subunit ribosomal RNA", at positions 28 to 507 of the family's 1533-position model. The record is from RNAcentral.
GAUGAACGCUGGCGGCGUGCCUAAUACAUGCAAGUCGAGCGAACAGACGAGGAGCUUGCUCCUCUGACGUUAGCGGCGGACGGGUGAGUAACACGUGGAUAACCUACCUAUAAGACUGGGAUAACUUCGGGAAACCGGAGCUAAUACCGGAUAAUAUAUUGAACCGCAUGGUUCAAUAGUGAAAGACGGUUUUGCUGUCACUUAUAGAUGGAUCCGCGCCGCAUUAGCUAGUUGGUAAGGUAACGGCUUACCAAGGCGACGAUGCGUAGCCGACCUGAGAGGGUGGUCGGCCACACUGGAACUGAGACACGGUCCAGACUCCUACGGGAGGCAGCAGUAGGGAAUCUUCCGCAGUGGGCGAAAGCCUGACGGAGCAACGCCGCGUGAGUGAUGAAGGUCUUCGGAUCGUAAAACUCCGUUAUUAGGGAAGAACAAAUGUGUAAGUAACUAUGCACGUCUUGACGGUACCUAAUCAGAAAGCCACGGCUAACUACGUG